AAACCAUGAUGAGGACAUUGUCGUAAUGAACCCUUAAAUCUAUCUCAUGCCUCAUAUAGUGAUUCUCCAUUUACCUUAGCAAAGCUUGUGAUUUUAUAUCUUAAAUAU
Zingiber officinale is the source of this 108-nucleotide small nucleolar RNA. The record is from RefSeq and is a predicted model, not a curated record. Lineage: Eukaryota; Viridiplantae; Streptophyta; Magnoliopsida; Zingiberales; Zingiberaceae.